This 87-nucleotide transfer RNA is filed under the name Trueperaceae bacterium. RNAcentral's name for it is "tRNA-Leu". It matches the Rfam family "tRNA". Rfam says of the family: Transfer RNA (tRNA) molecules are approximately 80 nucleotides in length. Their secondary structure includes four short double-helical elements and three loops (D, anti-codon, and T loops). Lineage: Bacteria; Thermotogati; Deinococcota; Deinococci; Trueperales; Trueperaceae. The record is from RNAcentral.
GCCGGGAUGGCGGAAUCGGUAGACGCUGCGGACUUAAAAUCCGCUGCCCGUACGGGCGUGCGGGUUCGAGCCCCGCUCCCGGCACCA